UGGUGGAGCGAUUUGUCUGGUUAAUUCCGAUAACGAACGAGACUCUAGCCUAUUAAAUAGUUCGCCGAUCACGUUACGUCGGCGUCAACUUCUUAGAGG
This 99-nucleotide ribosomal RNA is filed under the name uncultured eukaryote. Its description in RNAcentral is "partial 18S ribosomal RNA". It matches the Rfam family "Eukaryotic small subunit ribosomal RNA", at positions 1299 to 1417 of the family's 1831-position model. The record is from RNAcentral.